This 2670-nucleotide ribosomal RNA is filed under the name Betaproteobacteria bacterium. RNAcentral describes it as "23S ribosomal RNA". It matches the Rfam family "Bacterial large subunit ribosomal RNA". The record is from RNAcentral. Lineage: Bacteria; Pseudomonadati; Pseudomonadota; Betaproteobacteria.
UGCGGCCAAGCUGGAAAGAGCGUGUGGGGGAUGCCUUGGCGCCAGGAGGCGAAGAAGGGCGUGCAAGACUGCGAAAAGUCCGGGGGAGCUGUCAAAGGAGCAUUGAUCCUGGAAUACCCGAAUGAUCGCAUGCUGAAUCCAUAGGCAUGCGAGGCGAACGCGGCGAACUGAAACAUCUCAGUAGCUGCAGGAAGAGAAAGAAACCUCGAUUCCGUCAGUAGCGGCGAGCGAAAGCGGAAGAGCCCAAACCGGCCGGGCAUGCCCGACCGGGGUAGUAGGACCGAUGUGAAGACCGAUGAGACCUAGUCGAACCCGCUGGGAAGCGGGACCAGAGAGGGUGACAGUCCCGUAGGCGACAGGUUGAGUUGGCUGAGUCGGCACCUGAGUAGGACCAGACACGUGAAAUCUGGUCUGAAUCCGCGGGGCCCAUCCCGCAAGGCUAAAUACUCCCUGGCGACCGAUAGUGAACCAGUAGCGCGAGCGAAAGGUGGAAAGAAUCCCGGGAGGGGAGGACAUUGACCCUGAAACCACAUGCUUACAAGCGGUCGGAGCCCAGUGACGCAAGUCCGGGUGACGGCGUGCCUUUUGCAUAAUGAUCCGGCGACUUGCUGUUACCGGCCAGAUUAAUCCGUUGUGCGGAGGAGUCGAAGCGAAAGCGAGUCUGAACAGGGCGAGGAAGUCGGUGGCAGCAGACGGGUCCGAACUCACUAGUGUUGAAAAACUAGGGGAUGACCUGUGUGGAGGAUUGAAAGUAUCAUCAAACGUGGAGAUAGCUCGUUCUCUCCGAAAUAACUCUAGGGUUAGCGUCGUGGUAGUUGGCAUGGGGGGUAGAGCGACUGAAUGCGCUGGGGGGCCUACCCGGCUACCCCUCGCAACCAAACUCCGAAUACCCAUGUACAAGCUACGGCAGUUAGACGGCGAGGGAUAAGCUUCGUCGUCGAGAGGGGAACAACCCAGACCGUCCGCUAAGGUCCCCAAGAGCCACUCAGUGCGAAAGGAAGUGGAAUUCCGAUGACAGCCAGGAUGUUGGCUUAGAAGCAGCCACCAUUUAAAAAGUGCGUAAUAGCUUACUGGUCGAGGAGUUCCGCGCCGAUAAUGAACGGGACUAAGUGGUUCACCGAAGCGGGCGCCAGUGAUAAUGCCGGAACGAGUAACGCUAAAACGGGUGAGAAUCCCGUUCGCCGAAAACCCAAGGAUUCCUGGGGAAGGUCAUUCCGCCCAGGGUUAGCCGGACCCUAAGACGAGGCCGAGAGGCGUAGUCGAUGGAAAGCAGGUUGCCAUUCCUGCGCCGGUCCUGAAGGUUGAGCCUGCGUGACGCUGGACGGAGUUCACGAGGGGGGCUGGAUCCCCGUGGUGGAUGAAGUGCAGCCGAGAAAAGCCGCAUGGUGACGACAGGAUCGUCCGUACCAAUAUCCGACACAGGUGGGUGAGAUGAAGAUUCUCAGGCGCGCGAGAGAACGCUCGUGAAGGAACUCGGCAAUUUAGCCCCGUAACUUCGGGAGAAGGGGCGCCCCCGCGAGGGGGCCGCAGUGAAAGGGAUCUGGCGACUGUUUAUCAAAAACACAGGACUCUGCGAACUCGCAAGAGGAUGUAUAGAGUCUGACGCCUGCCCGGUGCUGGUAGGUUAAGGAAGAGGGUUAGCCGCAAGGUGAAGCCAGCAACCGAAGCCCCAGUAAACGGCGGCCGUAACUAUGACGGUCCUAAGGUAGCGAAGUUCCUUGUCGGGUAAGUUCCGACCUGCAUGAAUGGCGUAACGACCGGAUCACUGUCUCCACGAGCGACUCGGUGAAACUGUAGUUGUUGUGAAGAUGCAACAUACCCGCGAUUAGACGGAAAGACCCCGUGAACCUUUACUGCAGCUUAGUAUUGGGUUUAGGCCCGGCAUGCGUAGCGUAGGUGGGAGGUUAUGAAGCAGGCGUCCAGGCGCUUGUGGAGCCGACCAAUGAAACACCACCCUUGCCGUGCUUGAAUUCUAACCCCGACCCGUGAAUCCGGGCGGCGGACAGUGCUAAGUGGGCAGUUUGACUGGGGCGGUCUCCUCCCAAAGAGUAACGGAGGAGCCCCAAGGUACCCUCAGCCCGGUCGGCAAUCGGGCAUCGAGCGCAAUGGUAGAAGGGUGCUUGACUGCAAGACGCAUACGUCGAGCAGGUGCGAAAGCAGGGCAUAGUGAUCCGGCGGUGCUGGAUGGAAAGGCCGUCGCUCAACAGAUAAAAGGUACUCCGGGGAUAACAGGCUUAUCUCCUCUGAGCGUCCAUAGCGGCGAGGAGGUUUGGCACCUCGAUGUCGGCUCAUCGCAUCCUGGGGGUGGAGAAGCUCCCAAGGGUUUGGCUGUUCGCCAAUGAAAGCGGUACGUGAGCUGGGUUCAGACCGUCGUGAGACAGGUCGGUCCCUAUCUGUCGUGGGCGUAGGAAUCUUGAGCAGUUUUCUCCCUAGUACGAGAGGAUUGGGAGGGACGCACCUCUGGUGUCCCUGUUGUCGUGCCAACGGCAUGGCAGGGUAGCCACGUGCGGUCAGGAUAAACGCUGAAAGCAUCUAAGCGUGAAACCUUCUGCAAGACGAGGAUUCCAGUCGCAAGACACAGGCCCCUGGAAGACUACCAGGUUGAUAGGAUGGGCGUGCAAGGCGGGCAACCGCUUCAGCUUACCAUUACUAAUGGCCUAUCGCUUCGCC